RNAcentral lists this ribosomal RNA (468 nucleotides) under uncultured bacterium. Its description in RNAcentral is "partial 16S ribosomal RNA". It matches the Rfam family "Bacterial small subunit ribosomal RNA", at positions 28 to 507 of the family's 1533-position model. The record is from RNAcentral.
GACGAACGCUGGCGGCGUGCUUAACACAUGCAAGUCGAACGGAAAGGCCAUGCUUUUGUGGGGCGCUCGAGUGGCGAACGGGUGAGUAACACGUGAGUAACAUGCCCCUGACAUUGGGAUAAAUUCAGGAAACAGGGGCUAAUACCGGAUAGGAGCUUCUGCUGCACGGUGGGGGAUGGAAAGGUACGGUGGUUGGGGAUGGACUCGCGGGUUAUCAGCUUGUUGGGGGGGUAGUGGCUGACCAAGGCUUUGACGGGUAGCCGGCCUGGGAGGGUGACCGGCGACAUGGGGACUGCGAUACGGCGCAGAAUCCUACGGGACGCAGCAGUGGGGAAUAUUGCACAAUGGGCGGAAGCCUGUGGCAGCAACGCCGCGUGCGGAAUGACGGCCUUCGGGUUGUAAACCGCUUUCGCCUUUAACGAAGCGUGAGUGACGGUAAUGGGUAAAGAAGCACCGGCUAACUACGUG